CCAAACAUAUAUAGUCACUUGUUGUAUACACUUAACAUUGCAUAGAUUUAGAGUGAGUUUCAGGUGAGGGAGAAAGGAUGGGGAUCAUAGUGUGAGGAGGGAGUGUGAUGGUGAGGUGUGAACUGCUAGGCGUGGUGUGUCUCCGAUGGCACUGUUACUUAUGCAGGAGGGUGUUCAAAUGUUAAUUAUCAGGAAAUUAAUUACUGUUCCUUUGCUUAUAUCUUUGACUAAUGCCACUAAUCUUGGCAUUAGUCCAUUAUUUAUGCCCGGAUUACAUUAAUUCAAUUAGUCCAUUAUUAAUCACUUUAAUCAACUUAAAGGGGUCCUAUUAUGCUCUUUUACAAAGUCUUGAUUUGUUUUGGGGGUGUACUAGAACAGGCUCUCAUACUAGGUUGUUCGAAAAACACAUUAUUUUUCACAUAUUUUACAUUAUUACAACACCUCUCUCCCCAGUCUGGCAUGAACGGCUCGAAAAGUUCCUGUAUCAAAUGAAGGCCCGCCUUCUGGAAUACGAUGUGUGCUGUGAUUGGUUAUCUGGGCCAGUGUGUGUGGAAUGAUUGGCAGCACUCGGCGCCUGGUCGGAAAAUGUCCUGCCUCUUACCAUAGCUGCCUGCUGCGAGCUUCAGUGUAAAUAUUGCAUCAAAAUCAAAUCAAUUUGAGCGCGAAUUAAACCCGGAUGAUUUUAACCACUCUAAGCUCGUCUGUCUUGGGAAAGCUAGCGUGUCUCUGACAUAGUGAUAACACUCAUUGUCUUCUCUAAUGCAGCUCAACUAGGUCUCGUCCCAUUCGUUGAUCUUUGUGAUAUCACAAAUCCCGGAAAAUAUGUGUUGUAGUCCAAACGAGUCGUUCGUUGUAGUUUUUGAAAAGUGAUUUCUGUUAAAUUAAAUAUCUCCUUUUGAACUGGACUUUGACCUUUGUAACUUGGGAGAUCUUUUUUAUGCUCAAACAGCAACAUUACAGAGUAACUAAAGUCGAAAAUGUGAAAAAGCAUAAUAGCACCCCUUUAAACUUACUUCUUAACAUACACUGUAUAAAAAAAAGGGAAAAAAAAGGAAAAAAAGGGGGGGGGGGGGUGGCUGUCAGAAAUGGCUGCCAAAAGACCUGUGCGUUUAAAGUAAAAUACCGUAAUUUAGAUGCUCUAAAAAUGCUGGGUUAAAAAACAUCAAUUUCUGGGAUAUUUGGCAACCCAUUCAAAUUAUUGAACAAAGUAAAGCUUGUUUAAAAAAAUGUUCAUGUAUGUUCAAUAGUUGGUACUUUGUGUCACGUGAUUUAAUUUAAUUACAGCCGCCUAUCAUUAGGAUAUACUGUAAAUGAGCAAACAGCCAUCAAGUUUGUUUGUUUUUAACUUUAUAGGCUACUUUCAUCUUGCUUUGUUUCUCUCUCUCUCUCUCUCUCUCUCACACACACACACACACACAGCAACAUUACUGUAAUAGCACCAAAAUAGCACAUAAUCUCUAGGUCACAUUUCCUGAAGCCUUGUCAUCCAAGUUGUAGAUGAUAACGUUUUUUUUUCACUGCAAGAACCAGUUUUCUGUGCAAAUUAUUGUGUGCAAAUGUUUUUAUCUGUAACAUUUUAUCUGUAAUCAUUCUUAAAAUACAGCAAGUGUUUCAUAUAAACAGGAUAUAUGAUCAUAUCUGAUAUCUUUUUUUUGGUAACACUUUCUAUGAAGCUGUAUUUAUAAUACAUUAUAAGGGUAUUCUUAAGGCAUUAUAAUGAAUGCAUAAUGCGUUAUAAAAAUCCUUAUAAUAUCUUGUAUCAUCUCAUGAAUAUUCAUAAGAACAGUUUUAAUAUAUUAUAAAAUUUACUUAUUUG
This is a long non-coding RNA of Cyprinus carpio carpio, 1816 nucleotides long. The record is from Ensembl. NCBI's taxonomy places the organism in Eukaryota, Metazoa, Chordata, Actinopteri, Cypriniformes, Cyprinidae.